GUACUCCGGGGAUAACAGGCUGAUACCGCCCAAGAGUUCAUAUCGACGGCGGUGUUUGGCACCUCGAUGUCGGCUCAUCACAUCCUGGGGCUGAAGUAGGUCCCAAGGGUAUGGCUGUUCGCCAUUUAAAGUGGUACGCGAGCUGGGUUUAGAACGUCGUGAGACAGUUCGGUCCCUAUCUGCCGUGGGCGCUGGAGAACUGAGGGGGGCUGCUCCUAGUACGAGAGGACCGGAGUGGACGCAUCACUGGUGUUCGGGUUGUCAUGCCAAUGGCACUGCCCGGUAGCUAAAUGCGGAAGAGAUAAGUGCUGAAAGCAUCUAAGCACGAAACUUGCCCCGAGAUGAGUUCUCCCUGACCCUUUAAGGGUCCUGAAGGAACGUUGAAGACGACGACGUUGAUAGGCCGGGUGUGUAAGCGCAGCGAUGCGUUGAGCUAACCG
RNAcentral lists this ribosomal RNA (440 nucleotides) under Shigella flexneri. RNAcentral's name for it is "partial 23S ribosomal RNA". It matches the Rfam family "Bacterial large subunit ribosomal RNA", at positions 2463 to 2897 of the family's 2925-position model. The record is from RNAcentral. Lineage: Bacteria; Pseudomonadati; Pseudomonadota; Gammaproteobacteria; Enterobacterales; Enterobacteriaceae.